GCGUCUGCCAAACUGCAGGUUCUCAUGCAGUGGCUCUGGGACAGGGUGUGAGACCACGUUUCUUACCAGCUCCCAGGGGAGGACAAUACUGCUGGUCCCUAGACACACCUUCAGUAGCAAGGCUCUGUGACACCCCUGCAACAAGCUAGAGAGUCCUAACCCCCAGAUAGCUCAGCUGUCCCCUGGGGGCAGUGCCACCACCCCUCCUGCCGGGACAGAAUGUGUUCCAGGUCAUUCAGGUAUUCCUGGAAUCCACCUCUGGUGUCACCACUGGUGCUGAAGCCAAAAGUUAAGUUACCAGUAAAAUGAGCUACAGGAAUCAGACCAACUCCGGCUGCCAGCAAGAUGCUAAAUAGAACCAAUUGUACUCAAGAGGCCAAGAAGAAAUUCCUGCCUUUUGAGAUCAAGGAAAGUAAAAGACAGUUCAGCAAAAAGAGAGACUGAGAAGCUUGAUUGGUGAAAAGCGAGGGAGGAUCAACAUGUUUUUCAAACCCGUGCAGGCUGCAGAAGACACUAUCGCCUUCCUCUCAAGAGCCAUCCUCCACUUUUAUCUCCGCUAACAGAAACUCAGUUGUAUUCUGAUCUUCACCCCUCAGGCAAGGUAAACUAUUCCCAGCUCAAGACUAAAUCCCAGUUGUCCAAGCCAAACAUGCAGUCUCAUUCCCCCCGACAAUGAUGAACACAAAACUGCAUGUGACCUGAUUCUGACCACGGUCCUGCCACAAGACUCUGGGAAAAACCGCUGACUCUUAAAAUGAGAAACACAAGAAAAGAAAAGCCAGUCUCUUUUUGCCUUUGGACAUUGGUGCAUUUGAGUGUGAUGGCUGGGCUAUGGCAACCAUCUUGGCACCAUGAGGAGAACAACUUGAGGCAGGACUGACAGGCCCAAGACCCCAGAAAGGAAGGACAGUAGAAGAAACCUGGAUGCUUGGAAAUGUAGAGAACCAUGCAGUUAACCAGAGGACAGCCUGCCUUGGGUCAUAGAUCUUUCUUCUUGUUUAAACAUUUGGCAUUGGGGUUUCUUUUACCUGCUACCUAAAGGAUACCAACUGGUACAUGAGAUACCUCCUAUUUCUUCCUAGAGGCUGAAACAGACCUAGUCAAAGCUCCAGGCCUUUCCCAACUCCCAGGCAUUGCAUGCUCACUUUUCCAGUUGUCUAAGGACAGAACAGACCCUUAUAUCUGAGGGUACCCGGGGGAGCUCCGCCAUGACCCACAUGUAUUCCUCGUGCCUGAAAUGCCACCCUUAGUGAGGUAUCAUUCUGUUUCGAUAUGCAAAUAGUCCUGGGGUAAAUUAAGUCCCCUAAGUGAGAAAGAACUAAUUGCAUCUCUUUCUUCUUCCAAGAAACUUUGGCAGACUGUUAUUACAAGAGAAACAGAUGCCAAGAUGGGAGUUAACGCACAGGGGUUUCAUGAAGGUAAAUGCCUGUGAGAGAAAAUGGGUGGAAAGGAGGGUAGCGAGAGCAGUCAGGCCAUGUGAUGCAAGACCCUGAGUGGAGGAGAGAGGGAAGGACGAUUGGGUAGAAGUAUUCUAGCCAGUUGUGCCAACUUGAUAGGCUUGGCAGCACCUUCCUUGAGCCAUGGUCUAGUAACAGAGGAGUUCUGUGUCUGCCAGUGAUAGCUCCCCUUCAAUUCCUGCCAGGCAGUCCUGGGUAGGAGCAGCCUCUGGGAGGUGUGGCCUCUGCACAGACACAGCUGGAAAAAACAGGCUCCUGGGGCAGAGGGGAAGGAGACUUGGGGUGGAAGACAGCCCCGCAGGGGGUCGUGUCUGUGUGAUGGUCACACUGUCCCAUCCAGGCACUCACUCAGUAAACCUCUUUCAGUGAAGUCAGCUCAGACCACCAGUUCUUCACAUGGUGGUCAUGUCAACGGCUGUCGUUGCUGACGAAUGGAAACUAGAGAAGGGGCUAGGUCACUUGAGAACAUUAAUGUGUCAUGGCCAGGUUGGCACAGGAGAAAGCUGAGCUCACGAGGCAGAGGCUCCAGGAGUCACAUAUGCCUGGGGAUUAGUGCUACUCUGGACUUCACAGGCCAUGCAGUUUGGGGCAGUUUGAGGCCAUUUUCUCUGGUUCUCACUGGCCAGGAAGAACCCCACCCAACCUCUGAGUUACUCAUUGUAAGCCUGGCUGCUGCAUCAGAGAUUCAAAACACUGGGCCUUAAGUGAGAGUGCAGUUGCCUUCUUACCUAUUAGUGCAGGUGCAGGUUUGGGAUGGGGACCCAGGCUCCUGCCCUCUUGUUGCUCUGCCCUCCCCAGAGUGCUGCAAAGGAAUAUCAUCUGCAGAAAAAUAUUGAUGAGAUGAUGCCUUGGCAGCCCAUGUAUGUGCCAGGCACGGUUCUCAAUACUUUAUAAGUAUCAAGCCUUUAACCCUCAAAAUCUCUCAGAGUAGAUAAUAUCCUAAUUUUACAGAAAGUGAAGCCAAAAACGUCGAGUUGCCAGUUCCACAAUCUAUGCUGGCAACAACUAUGCCUGCUAGCCAGAAGGAAGAGGGGGCUGUGCAGAGAAAUGGAGCCCUCUUCCCCUUUAAGGACUGAGACAGAUACCAUGAGUCAGGUGGCCACUCUUGGUUUCCAGGGUGGCUGAGAGAUGUAGUCUUUAGCUGGGCAGGCAUGUGCAAAGUGCCCAGUUAAAUUACUGCUCUGCCUGGAAUGGCUCUUCCAAUCAUUUACACCAUCAUUCAUGAUUUACCAGGCCAUGAUUUAGGCUAACAUUAUCCAAGAUUCAGUUCACCUGCACUGGGAAGACAGUCCCAACUCCACCCCUGGCUGGGUUAAAUGCCCCACUUAGGGCUUCCAUUAGCCCCUGGGAUGCCUUCUAUGUCACUCUUAUCAUAUGUUAUUAGAAGAUCCUCUCUGGUCCCAAUAGGCCUACAGACAUGGUUUGUUUGGUCCACACAGUGUUUAAAGAAAAAAAAAAAAUAGAAAAAAAAGCCCCCCCCCCCGACAUCCCUCCCCCACAUUCCAAACGUAUGGCUUCCCCUUAAAAAUCAUAAGGCACAAUAAUAAUGGACAGUCAACUGAGACUGAGUAGCUCCCCAAUCCCUGUACAGAGGACACAUGCACUUUGUUCACAGUCCCCACCGCUCCCUAAUGUCCCACACCCUGCCUAAUUCAUUCAUUCAUGUUGCCUGCCUGGCCCCUGUAGGUAGUAGCCAUUGCAACUCCACUGGACUAUGGGUUUUUGGGGGGUAAAGUGUGCUUUAGCUGGAUGCGCCUUGCACUUGGCACACAGCAGGUGCUCUGAAAUGUUUGCGGAGUGUGUGAAUAGUCGCUGAAACUUUCAGGACUAAAUUGCAUUGCAGCACAGACAUACAUUCCACCCACACCCUUCCCAACCGUCACCCCAAAGAAAUCUAUAUUUAAUUGGUUUGCAAAAUCAGAGCCUCCAAGCAGCUUCACACUAGAGAUCCUUUCUAAACGGCAGAAAUGCGACAGCUUAGCCCUGCGUGCUCCAGCCUAUUCAUAGCUCGGGUGUGUUUCCUGGGCAGCUGCAUUGUUCUUAGUGGGAGAGCAGCAGAGGCAACCUUCUAAGUCCAACUCUAGCUCUGCCUCUCCCAACCCUCCCUCAUGCCCUUCCCCAAUUCUCUUUCUCUGUCCAGCUCGCGGGCCCGCUGCCUAUUCUGUUGGAUGGUUAUUUAUUUAUUGUCAGCACUAAUCAGAGGGUGGGGAGGGGAAAUAGGAGCUCUUGCCGAUGUGAAAGUCCUUCCCCAGGGUCCCCAGGGAGAAUCCUGUGCGGUGUGCGGCGCCAGAGGUCACUGUCACCUUGGCCUCGAGGUGGCCUGUUUACCAAAGUGAAAUGAAGAUAUCAGUUAGAUGUCAGGUAAAUGCUAAUGGCCAGCAGAGAGCUGGUACAGGAUUGGCCGGGCUGGGUGAACCCUUUCUUUCCAAUUCUGCAGCACAAAGGCCCCAGUGACUUAGCAACUCCGAUAAGAGGUCAAUGGGCAAAUGUCAGUCCUUGAUUGAAUGCGCCUCUUGGCCUGGUUUCAGGAGUUCAGGGCUGCCUCCCUGCGUUUCCCUCGGCUCUCCUCACUCCUAUUCAACUGGAGGAAGGUGAAGCAUUUGUUAGAAAGCCCUCCCAUCCACCCUUUCCCUAUCUCUGGCAGGAAAGAAAGCCUAUCCCUCGUGUCCCAAGGUCCGAAAGCACAAUGAAAACCGGCAUCAUUAUCCUCCAGCCGUGAAUGGGAAAAGCGGGAUGUUGACUAUGGGUCGUCACCUAGGAGAACAGAUGAGACUAGAUUCGGUCACAGAAAAGAACAGGAAACAGUCGUUGCCUUGUUUAUCAGUGUGUGAUAGAUAGCACCCCCGGGCCGCCUCUCCACGCAGGGCCUCAUUAGGAAGUCGGCACCUGAAACAGGAACCUCCGCAUCACGUGGUCCAGGAUGAACCGGGCCUGUUAGCUCAGUCUCCCAGGACUGUGGAUCCUUUUUGCAUUCCUUCUAUUGCUUUUCCAAUGUGGGGAGUUGGCACUGGGCACAGUGAGGGUCUCACACCUCUGCUGGUUCUCACCCACAGGAAGCGUCUCCCACAUCCACAUCUUCAAGCAGCCCCUCCCCAAGCCCCUCGAUGUCACUUCGUCUUCAUCCUCAUUUAGGCUUUUCUGCAAACUCUCCUGCUCCUUGGUCAGCCCUCUUUUAUUCUUCUUUAGACUUUUUCUCUGCAUCCUCCUGCCCCUGCCACCGUAACAAUUGAAAGAACUGUCAAAUCUUCUCAAAUAAAUUUUUCUGCAUU
Long non-coding RNA from Macaca mulatta (Rhesus monkey), 4726 nucleotides. RefSeq lists it as uncharacterized. NCBI's taxonomy places the organism in Eukaryota, Metazoa, Chordata, Mammalia, Primates, Cercopithecidae. The record is from RefSeq and is a predicted model, not a curated record.